Molecule: unclassified non-coding RNA, 250 nt
Filed under: plant metagenome
Description: partial contains small subunit ribosomal RNA, internal transcribed spacer 1, and 5.8S ribosomal RNA
Rfam family: 5.8S ribosomal RNA (bases 167-250)
Source: RNAcentral
GUAGGUGAACCUGCGGAAGGAUCAUUACAAAUCGAGAUGGGGGGAUUGGAUGAUGAUGGAUAUAUUGUCCAUUGUUGUCCAUCACCUUAUUCAUUGGCACCGGGGCGCGAGCCCCGAUGUGUUUACGCUUGCAUGUUUGACAGAUUUAGUGUACGACCGAAAUGACAACUUUUAACAAUGGAUCUCUUGGCUCUUGCAUCGAUGAAGAACGCAGCAUCUGACUGACUUCAGUACGAGGCAUCUCGUAUGC